UCCAAACUUUCCCUCAUCUUUCUGUCUUCUGAGCACUCCAAACUCUUCCAACCUCUGCCCAUUACCCAGUCCCAAAGCUGUUUCCCCAUCUUUGGUAUCUUUAUAACAAUGCCCCACCCCUCAGUACCAAUUUUCUGUUUUAGGCCACCCUUGCACUGCUGUAAAGAGAUACCUGAAGCUGGGUGAUUUAUAAAGAAAAAAGGUUUAGUUGGCUCAUAAUUCUGUAGGUUUUACAGGAAGCAUAAGUCCAGCAUCAGCUUCUGAGGAGGAAACUUACAAUCAUGGCAGAAGGUGAAGUGGAAGAAGGCGCUUCACAUGGCGAAAGCAGGAUCGAGCAAGAGAGAGCUAUUAUGUCAAAUUAUUGUGUCCCGCAGAGAUGACCAGACUUUAACUGUGACUGUUUUGAGACUUGUCUUCCAUAAUUGUUAUUUUACUUUAAUGUUUUUCACAGGCAGUGUUAUAAUCAGCUCUAGCACUCUGACAGAUGCUCUUGAAUGCAGGUUUCUGGUAACUUGGGAGAUUUUGACAUUAGAAUAGAGGGGAAAACUUUCAGCGUUCCCAUAGAGAGCUAAUGUGUUCAUGAAUAUUGAGCAGAACAUAAGUUAAUUACAUAGACUGAACUGAUGGAAGACUGAAAUAAUAUUUUUAAGACUUGUUUAAAACAUUGCUAAUUCGUUUGUUUUUCGGAGUCUGGAAAAUCUUUUUUCUUUCUGCAGUUUGGACUAGAUGAUCAAUUCUUUCCAGGCUACAGAUCCCCAAGCUAAUGUUUUCAAAUUUUUCUCCCAUUUUUAAAAUCUGGGCUCAAUGAAUUACUACUAUGUUAUUCCUUGUAACAUAGGCAAGAAAAACAUGUCAGACAGCUAACCACCUUCCUCCUCUGUAACUAAAGGUGCUUUGAGUCCAACAUCUGGAUAAAAUGUGCCCAACGUUAACCUUUGUUUUUCUUCUGUUUUCAUAGAAAUGGCUCUUACUGAAAAUCUGCCUUCAUCACAUACAGAGGCCUAGCCCAUCUGCAGUGCCACCUCCUGGAUGGGACACAGCUAAUUAAACCGAUCUAUUCUCAAGAACUAGACAGGGCUUAUGACCACUAUCAUGAGUAGUCAUAGCUCUUCCUGUAACUUGGCUAGAGUGCAGUGAUGCAAUCAUGGCCCACGGUAGCCUCAAUCUUCUGGAUUCAUGUGAUCCUCCCACUUCAGCCUCCUGAGUAGCUGAAACUACAGGUCUCCAAGAGAAGUUGAAUCAAGAUCUGGCAUUGAUCGUGAGAUCCUGGACAUAAUGUCAAUUCAAUCAUUGGACAAGUCUUUUGGGGUGUCUUGGGGAAGAGGAUGAGUAUAUUUUUCCCAGCAGCCAGGAAGGAAAUGAAUAUUUAUGAUCCAGUGUGCAGAUCAUGGUAGACUGGAUUCUUGUUUUCAAUUCUUCACUCUCUUCCUGUGUUUGGAUUUUGCAGCCACAUACUUUGUUAUAUGACUUUGCAGUAUCUCCUGUUAGAAUAGAUGGAGUCCAUUUCUCUCCUGGCAUUGGGUUUGGCUGUGUG
This is a long non-coding RNA of Cercocebus atys (sooty mangabey), 1534 nucleotides long. RefSeq lists it as uncharacterized. The transcript is spliced from 3 exons. The record is from RefSeq and is a predicted model, not a curated record. Lineage: Eukaryota; Metazoa; Chordata; Mammalia; Primates; Cercopithecidae.